CGGUGACUGCGUACCUUUUGUAUAAUGGGUCAGCGACUUAUAUUCUGUAGCAAGGUUAACCGUAUAGGGGAGCCGAAGGGAAACCGAGUCUUAACUGGGCGUUAAGUUGCAGGGUAUAGACCCGAAACCCGGUGAUCUAGCCAUGGGCAGGUUGAAGGUUGGGUAACACUAACUGGAGGACCGAACCCACUGUCUUUGAAAAGCCAGGGGAUGACUUGUGGAUAGGGGUGAAAGGCUAAUCAAACUCGGUGAUAGCUGGUUCUCCCCGAAAGCUAUUUAGGUAGCGCCUCGGACGAAUACCAUUGGGGGUAGAGCACUGUUUCGGCUAGGGGGUCAUCCCGACUUACCAAACCGAUGCAAACUCCGAAUACCUACAAGUGCCGAGCAUGGGAGACACACGGCGGGUGCUAACGUCCGUCGUGAAAAGGGAAACAACCCAGACCGUCAGCUAAGGUCCCAAAGUUAUGGUUAAGUGGGAAACGAUGUGGGAAGGCUUAGACAGCUAGGAGGUUGGCUUAGAAGCAGCCAUCCUUUAAAGAAAGCGUAAUAGCUCACUGAUCGAGUCGUCCUGCGCGGAAGAUGUAACGGGGCUAAGC
Molecule: ribosomal RNA, 596 nt
Filed under: Anophryoides haemophila
Lineage: Eukaryota; Ciliophora; Oligohymenophorea; Philasterida; Glauconematidae
Description: partial Bacterial large subunit ribosomal RNA
Rfam family: Bacterial large subunit ribosomal RNA
Source: RNAcentral